This 251-nucleotide ribosomal RNA is filed under the name uncultured bacterium. Its description in RNAcentral is "partial 16S ribosomal RNA". It matches the Rfam family "Bacterial small subunit ribosomal RNA", at positions 525 to 775 of the family's 1533-position model. The record is from RNAcentral.
ACGGAAGGUUCGGGCGUUAUCCGGAUUUAUUGGGUUUAAAGGGAGCGUAGGCCGUGGAUUAAGUGUGUUGUGAAAUGUAGGCGCUCAACGUCUGACUUGCAGCGCAUACUGGUCCACUUGAGUGCGCACAACGCGGGCGGAAUUUGUCGUGUAGCGGUGAAAUGCUUAGAUAUGACGAAGAACCCCGAUUGCGAAGGCAGCUCGCGGGAGCGCAACUGACGCUGAAGCUCGAAAGUGCGGGUAUCGAACAG